UUCUGAUUAAACUAGGGGUUGCUUUAACUACUCUGUCAAACUGAGUAUGUGUGCAUGCUGUCAUAUGAAGUUUUCAUAUGACAGCCAGUCACCCUGAUCAUUAAUUCCAUGGGUUAUUGACCAGAUAUUUUUCUCCAUCCAAAGCUGUAAGUAGAGAAAUUUGCACAUACCUACAUAUUUGAUGUGUGGUUAGGUUAUGCGUGUACCUGAGUUUUCAGCACAGUAGUACUUGUUUGUGAGGGGGAAGAGGGAGUUGUACUUGAAUUGAGUGUGUCAGGAGCAUGUCGGAACACCGCCAGCCCUGACUGUCAGUUGGUCUGAAUUUAAAGUGUGCUCUUUUAUUUCGCUGUUCUAUCCUUCCUUCUCUGUCUUGCCUCCUUCUGCCGGGAUUAAUGGUGUGCUCCUUUUGAACUGGGAAGUCGGAGCGUUCGACUUCCGAUGGGAAGUCGGACUGUUCAACUUCCCGGUCGGAAGUUGCUACCGGAACGACCCCUGAAGUUGGAUUUACAACUCUGAAAGUUGGAGGAACAUCACCAAACUCCGCCUCACAACCCAAGACGCCUGCUCCGUAUCCCAGUCUUGGUAUUGAGGAGGACAUUGAAACGUAUUUGGAAUACGUGAAGUAAACCACAUAUCCUUCUGACUGCGCAAAGAUCCCAGAAAACCUGGUUAAACCCGGAGACACCAUCACAGACAGCUGCAAGGAGAAUGCCAAUCCUGCACCCCGCCCGUCACCAUCAGGUGUGACAACCAAUCACACAUUCAGCAAAGAGCAAACGCUGUUCAUAAUUAGCCAAGUGCAACAGCACAUUACGUCUGAUGGACUUGGUCUCCCUAAGAACCUGGCAGAAUUGAAUGACUGGCUGAAAUCUCCCAAAGGCAGUAAAAAGGAAUUCUGGAUGGACUUAAAAGAAAAGUUGAACAGUAAGUUCGGACAAGCGUUCAGCUAUGAGAAGGUAAACAGGAAAUGGUACACUCUGGUCGAAGGAUACAAGAAAGUGAAAGACAAUAAUAAAUUAACAGAAAAAGGAACACGCUUCCAAUUUUAUGCAGAAAUGGAUGCACUUAUGGAUCAAAAUGAUGAACAAAAUGAAGUGGACCCUCUUAUCAGGACAUCAGAGGAGCUGCAGGUGUGCGGGCCUGAGGCCCUGGGACGUUGCAGCAGUGUCACAACGUUCGCUGAAACUACACUUAGCCAAGCUACACCAAGACAACUUGCUGCUAAACGUAAGCCAGAACCCUUUGCCACACCUCCACCAGAACCCUCUGCCACACCUGCGCCAAAACCCUCUGCCACACCUAUGCCUCCUUGCAAAUGUAAAAAGUGGGAGGAUGAGAAAAAGAUGUCCUUGCGAGAGUUUGAUGAAAACUGUCAACGGCGCCACGAGGAAGUUAUGCACGUGGAAAAGAUGAAGAUAAAGCUUUUGUACAUGAUAUAUUCACAGCGGCGUUAAAAGCUGUACAGUGUCCAAGCUCUUGCACAGCAAAAGCAAACCACAAAACAAAAAGUGAGAAAAAGGAAAAAAAAGAAGAAAGAAAACGACAUACAGUAUAAAAGACCGUCCUGUUAAUUAUUUACUUUCUGUUUGCCUUUUUUUUACUUUUUUAAAAACAUUUUUAUACAGUUUGCACAAAAAUAGCACUUCUUGCACAUUGUGUCUAAUUGUCUAUUAAUUGUAAAUUGUAAAAAAAAAAAAUCUCCAACAGGCUCCGGCUGUGACACCUCAAACACGGCAGGGAGGUCAAGUUGAGUGGCCUUUGGUGAGGCCUCGCUGACAGCCUGUCAGUCAGAGUGGCUACACCCUUAAUUAUGCAGAACUUAAAGCCUUAAUAACAUUUAAAGGGGAUUGUUAUAAAAAAUAUUCACCCCCGCAUAGUUCAAUCAAUCAAUCAAACUUUAUUUAUAUAGCACUUUUUGUACAAACAGAAUGUAGCACAAAGUGCUUUACACACACACACACACACACACAGUCACACAAAAAGAUUAAUUCAGAGACUCUAAUGGUAAGG
Epinephelus fuscoguttatus (brown-marbled grouper) is the source of this 2010-nucleotide long non-coding RNA. RefSeq lists it as uncharacterized. NCBI's taxonomy places the organism in Eukaryota, Metazoa, Chordata, Actinopteri, Perciformes, Serranidae. The record is from RefSeq and is a predicted model, not a curated record. The transcript has 3 exons.